This 372-nucleotide ribosomal RNA is filed under the name uncultured organism. RNAcentral describes it as "partial 16S ribosomal RNA". It matches the Rfam family "Bacterial small subunit ribosomal RNA", at positions 527 to 896 of the family's 1533-position model. The record is from RNAcentral.
GUAGGUGGCAAGCGUUGUCCGGAAUUAUUGGGCGUAAAGCGCGCGCAGGCGGUUUUUAAGUCUGAUGUGAAAGCCCACGGGCUCAACCGUGGAGGGUCAUUGGAAACUGGAGAACUUGAGUACAGAAGAGGAAAGCGGAAUUCCACGUGUAGCGGUGAAAUGCGUAGAGAUGUGGAGGAACACCAGUGGCGAAGGCGGCUUUCUGGUCUGUAACUGACGCUGAGGCGCGAAAGCGUGGGGAGCAAACAGGAUUAGAUACCCUGGUAGUCCACGCCGUAAACGAUGAGUGCUAAGUGUUAGGGGGUUUCCGCCCCUUAUUGCUGCAGCUAACGCAUUAAGCACUCCGCCUGGGGAGUACGGCCGCAAAGGCUG